Vespula vulgaris is the source of this 1909-nucleotide long non-coding RNA. RefSeq lists it as uncharacterized. NCBI's taxonomy places the organism in Eukaryota, Metazoa, Arthropoda, Insecta, Hymenoptera, Vespidae. The record is from RefSeq and is a predicted model, not a curated record. The transcript has 4 exons.
CAUAGAAAACUAAACUCCGAUGUGAAACUGUGCCACAACAAUUGGAAAUAGAAAUUCCAUGGGGAAACCGUGCGUGGCAAGCUACCGUUCGAGAAGACAAACAGUUCUGUUUAUUUUUCAGCUCCAAGAUAGAUACGUAUGAGUGAGUGCGUGGGUAUAUGCAUGCGUAUAUGCGUGCAUGUGUAUACGUACGUACAGAGAACCCUUAGGAAAGAAGGCGACGAAGGUUGUUUCGAAUGAACGAGUGAAUAAGCAAGGAGGAAAGAAAGAGAGAAAGAGAGAAAGACAGAAAGAGAGAGAAAGUAUCCAUGGUUUUUGCUGGACUUUCCUGCCAAGAAUAAAGGCUCGGGGGUACGUUAUGACCGCAGUAAAAUCUUACGACGAUCAUAACGCGAUCAUGAUGUGUAUAACGGCUACCAAAUACCACGUUCGAUAUUCUUUCAGUCCGAGUUCUGACCCUUCUUAAAGUGUUCGCAGGUAUAAAAAUUUCUGUGCAACGUACAAGAUGAAGACGUAAGUUUGGAUAGAUGCGAAAAAUUGCUAAAAUAUGGCAUCUGCUCCUGUAGCUGGCUGCAUUCUUCACGGUUACUUCUUCAAAACGAGAAGUAAAAAGUAUUGUUAAGAAACGGUGAAACGAAUCUUGGACGAAUUCCGGACACGCCACGGAAAUGGGUGUCACUUUUGGAGAAUUUAUUGGGAAGCAUACGUUACGGAUUUUACAAAGGUCAUUCCUUCGUUUUUGGGAAUAUAAAAUCAGUCGAUAAAAACGAUAGAAAAAUAUCACAGAGAAGUUAUAGAUAAAUACAGAAAACCUUAAGAGAUAAAACAUCGAAAUUUUGUACCUGGUUGGAAAUUUUCAGAACGACCGAAGUGUCAAACUAUUCUCCCACCUAACUAAUCGCCAUCAAGAAUCUUGUAUCCAGUAAAAAAUCUAUGUAACUACUGUCGAAACACUACCAUUAAGAAUUCCAGCAAUAACACUUGUGAAAAUAGAUAUCGCGAGGCGAUACCUCGCGAAAGUAAUAGAGAAAUUAAUUUAACUUCAAUUUUAAUGACGAUAAUGAAAAAUUGUAAAAAAACAGAAUCGAUAAAAAAAAAACAAAAAAAAGAAAGAAAGAAAAAAUGCAAGUUCGUUGUUCCCUUUUAUCCUUGAUCGAUAAUACGAACUCGAAGUCGGCAAGUACAAACAACGAGUAACAACGGAUCUCAUUGAAGAAAGAAAGAAAAAGCAACAAGAGAAAAAAAAAGAACAAACAAAAGAAAAAUACAACGAAGAGGAAAAGAAAAAACAGGAAAUAAAAUUUACAAAAAAAAAAAGAGAGAGAGAGAGAGAGAAAGAAAGAAAAAAAAGUAAAAUUUAUAACACUAGUCACGAUUAUGGCGGCGGCAAAGUUACGAAAGCGAGUCGAGAUUGGUUUUAUCGCGCGAAAACAACGAACCUUCGAGGAAGGGUGUAAGAAAAAAAAAAGAAAAGAAAGAAGGAAGGAAGGAAGGAAGAAAGAAAGAAAGCAAGGAAGAAAGAAAGAAAGAAAGAAAGAAAGAAAGAAAGAAAGGAAGGAAGGAAGGAAGAAAAAAGAAAGAAAAAAAAGAUGAAGGAGUCGGUAGGAGAACUCGGUCGCGCUUAUUUUAAUCGGAGCUCGACGUGCCUCCGAGAUUGUUUCGUCUCGCGGCAGCAACGAUGUUUAACUCGCCGUUUAAUCGCCGUUAACGAGCGGUUAUCGUUCGCUAACUGGAAACACGACGAUGCUAACGAGGCGAUCGGCCGGAAGCCACGAGCUACCCUCUUUAUUUUUACUUUUCCAUUUCUUUUCUUUCUUCUUUCUCUUACACGAAUAUAUAUAUGUAUGUAUGUAUGUAUGUAUGUAUGAACAUAUUUAUGCAUAUUUAUAUAUAACUGUUUAUAUAUGUA